AUGGCCAGAACGGCGGCACCCUUGUUCCCCUUCUUCUUCCUCCUCCUGUCAUCGACAUCGCCGGCGGCGGCCCAGAAGAAUCGCCUUGGCCGGACUCCCCAGAUGGGGUGGAAUAGCUGGAACCACUUCGGCUGCAAGAUAGACGAGGUGAUAAUCCGAAAAAUAGCUGAUGCCAUGGUGGAUACUGGUCUUGCGAAACUGGGGUAUGAGCAUGUCAACUUAGACGACUGUUGGGCAGCUCAUGACAGAGACUCCCAGGGCAAUCUAGCUGCAAAUGGAACAACAUUUCCAUCAGGAAUGAGGGCCUUAGCAGAUUAUGUGCACGGGAAAGGGCUCAAACUCGGAGUCUACGGCGAUGCAGGACUGCGAACUUGCAGCAGGAUACAGCCCGGUUCGCUAGGAUACGAAGACCAAGAUGCGAGAACUUUGGCAGCUUGGGGGAUUGACUACUUGAAGUAUGACAACUGCAACAACCAAAACAUCAGCCCACUAACAAGAUAUAACAGGAUGAGUGAAGCCCUUAUGAAUUCUGGAAGGGACGUUUUCUUCUCCCUUUGCGAAUGGGGUGUGGAUGAUCCAGCGACAUGGGCAGGCAGCUUUGCAAACAGCUGGAGGACAACAGAAGACAUCAAGAACACAUGGGAAAGCAUGACGGACAACGCUGACAAGAACGACAAGUGGGCACCUUAUGCAGGGCCUGGUGGAUGGAAUGACCCAGACAUGCUGGAAGUAGGAAACGGGGGGAUGACAAUAGAAGAGAACCGUUGUCAUUUCAGCAUAUGGGCUCUAGUCAAGGCUCCUCUGAUAAUUGGCUGCGAUGUCAGCUCAAUGAGCCCUGAAACCAAGGACAUCCUCAGCAAUCAGAAUGUUAUUGCAGUUAAUCAAGACAAACUUGGGGUACAAGGGCGCAAAGUGCAACAAGAUGGAGAACUAGAAGUUUGGGCUGGUCGCUUAAGUCGAGGGAGAGUUGCUCUUGUGCUGUGGAACAGAGGGCCUGCUGAAGCAUCUAUUACUGCUAGUUGGAGCAACAUUGGUCUAAACCAAUCAGCUGUUGUAGAUGCUCAUGAUCUGUGGACAGAUGAGGUUACAUCAUCAGUGCAAGGAAACCUGACGAACAAGAUGGAUUCUCAUGCUUGCAAGAUGUAUGUGCUGACCCCAAAAUAG
This 1164-nucleotide ribosomal RNA is filed under the name Triticum aestivum (bread wheat). RNAcentral's name for it is "partial small subunit ribosomal RNA". Lineage: Eukaryota; Viridiplantae; Streptophyta; Magnoliopsida; Poales; Poaceae. The record is from RNAcentral.